Molecule: ribosomal RNA, 412 nt
Filed under: Bathymodiolus azoricus
Lineage: Eukaryota; Metazoa; Mollusca; Bivalvia; Mytilida; Modiolidae
Description: partial large subunit ribosomal RNA
Rfam family: Eukaryotic large subunit ribosomal RNA
Source: RNAcentral
CUUGACUCUAGUCCGACUUUGUGAAGAGACAUGAGAGGUGUAGCAUAGGUGGGAGCUCCGGCAAAGUUGAAAUACCACUACUUUUAUCGUUUCUUUACUUAUUCAGUUAAGCGGAGAGCGGGGCGCAAGCUCCUCGAUUCUGGAAUUAAGCUCCCGGCCUCGCAGUCGGGGGUGAUCCGCUCUGAAGACAGUGUCAGGCGGGGAGUUUGACUGGGGCGGUACAUCUGUCAAAAGGUAACGCAGGUGUCCUAAGGUGAGCUCAGUGAGGACGGAAACCUCACGUAGAGUAAAAGGGCAAAAGCUCACUUGAUUUUGAUUUUCAGUACGAAUACAGACCGUGAAAGCGUGGCCUAUCGAUCCUUUUGACUUUAAGAGUUUUAAGCAAGAGGUGUCAGAAAAGUUACCACAGGGA